UACGAAGGGUGCAAGCGUUAAUCGGAAUUACUGGGCGUAAAGCGCGCGUAGGUGGUUCAGCAAGUUGGAUGUGAAAGCCCUGGGCUCAACCUGGGAACUGCAUCCAAAACUACUGAGCUAGAGUACGGUAGAGGGUAGUGGAAUUCCCUGUGUAGCGGUGAAAUUCAUUGAUAUUGGGAAGAACACCAGUGGCGAAGGCGGUCAUCUGGUCCGGUAUUGACGCUGAGGCGCGAAAGCGUGGGGAGCAAACAGGAUUAGAAACCCCG
Molecule: ribosomal RNA, 266 nt
Filed under: uncultured bacterium
Lineage: Bacteria
Description: partial 16S ribosomal RNA
Rfam family: Bacterial small subunit ribosomal RNA
Source: RNAcentral